UACGAAGGGGGCUAGCGUUGCUCGGAAUCACUGGGCGUAAAGCGCACGUAGGCGGCUUCUCAAGUCAGGGGUGAAAUCCUGGAGCUCAACUCCAGAACUGCCUUUGAUACUGAGGGGCUCGAGUCCGGGAGAGGUGAGUGGAACUGCGAGUGUAGAGGUGAAAUUCGUAGAUAUUCGCAAGAACACCAGUGGCGAAGGCGGCUCACUGGCCCGGUACUGACGCUGAGGCGCGAAAGCUAGGGGAGCAAACAGG
This 253-nucleotide ribosomal RNA is filed under the name uncultured bacterium. RNAcentral describes it as "partial 16S ribosomal RNA". It matches the Rfam family "Bacterial small subunit ribosomal RNA", at positions 524 to 776 of the family's 1533-position model. The record is from RNAcentral.